Camellia sinensis is the source of this 605-nucleotide non-coding RNA. The record is from RefSeq and is a predicted model, not a curated record. NCBI's taxonomy places the organism in Eukaryota, Viridiplantae, Streptophyta, Magnoliopsida, Ericales, Theaceae.
CAUUGCAUUAAUGCAUUUUUUGUACCUACAGGACAUUGCCUCUUAAAGAGUUCAAGAGAUACAUGUUCGAUUACAUCCCUAGAGAGGGAAAUUAGGCUGCAAAUUUUUUGGCUACAAGAGCCAGAGAUUGGAUGCUACAACCAACAUCGAAGACUAUUGUAGAAAUUUGCCGUGCUUUUGACACAAUUUUGUACAAGAUGGAUCUAAUCCAUAUGUGCAAGAAAGCCGCUCUGCUAAUAGCUCAACAAGUUUUCCUGGACCAGUUUCAGUUGGAAUUAUUCCUUUACAAGGAGAUUUUGAAAACGAGGGAACUAGUUCAUGUGUGCAAGAAUACAAAAUUGACAUUACCCACAUAAUGUGAGGGGAAGACAAUCGCAUAACAGUUAUGAUCCACAACAUUCCCAAAAGGACGAGACGCAUAUGGCUGUCCUAAAGCGUCAAUUCCCUAAAGACUCUGAAUUCCUAAGAGUAGAGGAAAAAUUUAUUUGCCUUUGCGAUGUAAGAAACUACAAGAUGUUAUAGUUUGUAAUAUUUUGUCUUUAUGAUACUAGCAUAUGUGUAACAUAUCUCACAAAUAAAAUGUGGCAUUUUGGUCCAUUUUUUCU